AUUUUACCAGAUAUUCACAAAAAAUUUGGCGAGGAAACGUUUUCUCGUACGUCUUAACGCCGCCGCAAACAUUUUCGAUUAAACGGUGAGACCAGUGUGAGCAAAGAAACAAAAGAGCGCGAAAUGCAAACAGGGUAUGUGCGAGAGAGCGCGCUCUCGCGAGUAAGCAAUUCACAGAGAGAAAAUCGAGAGAGCAACCGCGCGCGCGCAGUGUUGCUUUGGAAUUCAUCUUUUUAAUUUUCGUCAUAUCUGUUGUUGCUAUAUUUGCUACAGUGGCAACUUGCGACGAACAGCAACAGCACAGCAUAUCAAACAGGGAGGCAACGCAGCGCAUCAACCAACAUGAAGCCUCUUCGAGCAUAAAAAAAUGGGGAAAAUGCUGCUUUCGGUAUAAAAGUAAAUACAUGAUUAUUAUGUAUAGCAAUACAUACCAAACAUGAAGAUGCACGGUAAAUAGUGAAAUCUUUUUUGUUCGUGGGCUUUUAAAUUGCAAUCGCUACCGUCAAGUACACUAAGUUUAGUGUGACCGCAACUUCAAUCCUCCCCACGAAAAUAUACUAAAUUCAAAGUUUCCUUUGAGAAUAAACAAACUAAAGACAAAAUGUUACAAACGCUCCCAUAAAUCCACAUACUUCUCCACAGAAUUUGACGUGAAAAUAUACCACAUCAAGUAUAUAAUGUACCAUGCGAGCGGUCACGCUGUGUGCGAGAAAAAUAGCACGCUGUAUAUUCGAGAACCAACCAGCGAACGGCAGCUCGCUGCUUUGUGGUUCAGCCCUAUGGCCAGGCCAGAGAAGCCAUUCGCAUUUCGUGCCACUGAGGCAAGCAAGCAAAAGAGACGACCGGAGUAAUUCCGCAAAAAAUUGAGUUAUCGGCAUUUGCAAUCAAAACUCGACAUUUUUUAAUGUGCUAUCUAAAGACGAAACAAAAUAUAAGGCAAAGUGCAAAAAUGGCUCAUAAAUUCAAAUACGAGACGCUUACGUAAGUGCAAAUGGCUCACACUACUUACAUACAUAGUGUUUGUGCCAGAGAGAGUCAGAAUGAUAUGUUCAGGCAUUGGUAUCUACAGGGUGUUUCGGCUAGCUGGUCAUGACUAGCAUACCAAAAUGACGACAGCAACAUGUUUGUUUGCACUAUGGCCACCCUAUAAAAGAGAGCGGCGAGAGGCAAACCAUGGUGAUUAUGCGGGAGAGAGAGAACACCCACACAUAUACAAAUAUACAAACUGUGGCCAUACUCGCGAGAGUUCAGCGCGGCCACAGAUAUUGCAGUACAUAAUGAAAUCGACAAAACUGAAAAUCAGAAACCAAACAGACGAGUAGCAGGCUACAACACUGCCACGGUUACACUUUGUGACUUCGACGACGGCAGCAGAGCGACGGCAUACACCUUGCCUCACCUCACCUUACACUUGACUUGACUCACGCGUACACACACACAUGCAUUGAUAUACCUACGUGUGUGUGCGCUGCACAAGUGGUGGUGAAAUGGUAGUUUUUGCUGCUGUCAAAACGGAAACGAGAAGACGACGCACAACGACAGAGACACACCAUAGAAAGCAGCAACAGCAGCCAGACAUGAAGGUAAAAGAAAACCAACACACAAUGUGGAUGCAAGUUGAGACGGUGGCUGCGAUGCCAACGCCAAUGGCGGAGAGAGGAGCGAUGUACGUGUGUGAGAGUGGAUAGCAUAGCAUACCAUGUAUGUAUGCGUGUACAUGUGUGCAUACACUGGUCGGCCUUUUUGCUCUCUGCAAUGGUCGGUCAAACACAUGUUGGAAUUUGAUCGGCCGUGAGAAAGAGCAACUGAACGGGGGCUGAAUGCAGCCGCAGCAGCAACGGCAACAGAGGAGCGGCGUCCAAUAAAAAUCUGUAUACUUGCGAAUUGUGUUUGCUGCGCUCAUCGCGGUGGUGAAAAUGGAAACCUUGCAAUUAUCGAUUUCUUUUCGAGUGCGCUCGCUCAAUGCAUUGCGCACAAAGUGCAGAAGAGAGAUAGAAAGGGGUUGUGACUGUCACCUGCCAGCAGCAGCACAACAACUGCAAACUGCAACACUGCGUUAGCCGAUAACUAUAGAUAAUGCAAAUUGAGUAGAACAAAAACACAACAAGCUUUGACGGCCGACAAAAGUUCAAAGUUCACCAGCAGCAGGCGCCUGUGCAGUGUUCUGCAGCAGUUGCAUUUCUUUCCCAAAACACACAGUCAUAACCUCCUGCUCCAACACAAGUGCAAAAGGGACAACCACAGUAGUAUGUGUGUGCGUGUGUGGCUGGCAAUUGCAUAGCCUAGUGGGACACGGACUAUGGAUUGUUUGCCUUUUCCAUAUACUACAAUUUUCACGUAUAUGCCACUCGCCACGCCACGCCACGCCAUUUGCUAUUGCGCAACAAUAAACAAAAGAUAUAUAAAUAUAUAUGUAUAUAUAUAUCAAAUAUACACACAUCUCUAUGUAAAUAUGAGUAGCAGCUGCGGCAGAAUCGUCGAAUGUAACAUCAAAAAGCAAGCAAACAACAACUGUUUAAUUAUACAAAAUUUAUAUAAAUACUAUAAAUGCUGUGUUGCAUUUUAAAAGCAAA
This is a long non-coding RNA of Drosophila sulfurigaster albostrigata, 2573 nucleotides long. RefSeq lists it as uncharacterized. Lineage: Eukaryota; Metazoa; Arthropoda; Insecta; Diptera; Drosophilidae. The transcript is spliced from 2 exons. The record is from RefSeq and is a predicted model, not a curated record.